UACGGAGGGUGCAAGCGUUAUCCGGAUUCACUGGGUUUAAAGGGUGCGUAGGCGGCCCUGUAAGUCAGUGCUGAAAUAUCCCGGCUUAACCGGGAGGGUGGCAUUGAUACUGCGGGGCUAGAGUACAGAUGAGGUAGGCGGAAUUGACGGUGUAGCGGUGAAAUGCUUAGAUAUCGUCAAGAACACCUAUAGCGAAGGCAGCUUACUAGGCUGUAACUGACGCUGAGGCACGAAAGUGUGGGGAUCAAACAGG
This 253-nucleotide ribosomal RNA is filed under the name uncultured bacterium. RNAcentral describes it as "partial 16S ribosomal RNA". It matches the Rfam family "Bacterial small subunit ribosomal RNA", at positions 524 to 776 of the family's 1533-position model. The record is from RNAcentral.